AGAGUUUGAUCAUGGCUCAGAAUGAACGCUGGCGGCGUGCCUAACACAUGCAAGUCGGAUGUGCCGCAAGGUGCAUGGCAGACGGGUGAGUAACGCGUGGAAAACCUACCUCUUUGUGGGGAAUAACGCUCCGAAAGGAGUGGUAAUACCGCAUGAGACCAUGGACUGGGAUGUCCAUGGUGAAACCUGGGGACCGCAAGGCCUGGGGCAAGGAGAGGGUUCUGCGUCUGAUUAGCUAGUUGGUGGGGUAAUGGCCUACCAAGGCGACGAUCCGUAACUGGUCUGAGAGGAUGAUCAGUCACACUGGAACUGAGACACGGUCCAGACUCCUACGGGAGGCAGCAGUGGGGAAUAUUGGACAAUGGGCGAAAGCCUGAUCCAGCCAUGCCGCGUGUGUGAAGAAGGUCUUCGGAUUGUAAAGCACUUUAAGUUGGGAGGAAGGGCAGUAAAUUAAUACUUUGCUGUUUUGACGUUACCGACAGAAUAAGCACCGGCUAACUCUGUGCCAGCAGCCGCGGUAAUACAGAGGGUGCAGGCGUUAAUCGGAAUUACUGGGCGUAAAGCGCGCGUAGGUGGUUCGUUAAGUUGGAUGUGAAAUCCCCGGGCUCAACCUGGGAACUGCAUUCAAAACUGACGAGCUAGAGUAUGGUAGAGGGUGGUGGAAUUUCCUGUGUAGCGGUGAAAUGCGUAGAUAUAGGAAGGAACACCAGUGGCGAAGGCGACCACCUGGACUGAUACUGACACUGAGGUGCGAAAGCGUGNGGAGCAAACAGGAUUAGAUACCCUGGUAGUC
This 793-nucleotide ribosomal RNA is filed under the name uncultured bacterium. RNAcentral's name for it is "bacterial SSU rRNA". It matches the Rfam family "Bacterial small subunit ribosomal RNA", at positions 8 to 795 of the family's 1533-position model. The record is from RNAcentral.